This 37497-nucleotide long non-coding RNA is filed under the name Hordeum vulgare. The record is from RNAcentral. Lineage: Eukaryota; Viridiplantae; Streptophyta; Magnoliopsida; Poales; Poaceae.
GGGCUGUUGCUCUUUGAAAGACGAGGUCUAGUGGAAGAGGCGGGUCAGGCAAGAUGAGUACUCAGAUUCGGCGCUUGCUUGACAUCUCUCUUUGAAUCUGAAACUUGACAUGACCAUUGAUUCCGCCUCCAUUGCCGGAAAGGAUAACGAUGGAUCUUUAGCUAGCUCAUAGGCAGAGGAAAGGUAUACGUUAACAGAUAAGGAAAAGUGGAUCCGCUACCAAAUACGUUGUGGAGCCGUGUUCUCUAGGGAGGUUUGAGGGUUCUUGGGAUGGGUUCUAUGUUGCUGCCCAUUCAUUUCCUAUUAAUAAGAAGAUAUGUAAAGCCAUUCAUUCUAUUAAAGAGAACUUCUAGUGGCAGAUUUUAGAUGGUAAUUCGGUGCGAUUGUUAUAAAACCCUUGGCUCGGUGGGACUGCAUUGAAUAGAAGGCCUAUUCCUAUGAACAUGUCAGAGCUGUUGGAAGGUUUGUCUCUCUCCCACUAUCUCAUUCCUAACAGGGAUUGACAUAUUUGUUUAUUAUCUUUUUUUCUCCCUGAUGAGGUGGUGCGAGAAAUUUCAGCUGUACCAAUUCCUAGAAGCAUCUGUUCUGAUACUUUGACAUGGGGGUCUUCUGUUCACUCUGACGAUUAGGAUGAAGGAAGUAUACAGGGAGGUCUGCCAGCCAUUUAAUGAGGAAGGUGGUCUUCAUUUCUCUUGCGUAUGGAUGCUUAAGGUCAUUCCCUGCAUUCCAUUUUUUGCUGGAAAGCUUAUUGGAAUAGACUUCCGUGCAGAUAACGAACUUCUUGUCUCAAGGAAUUUGCUCCCAUUGUCUGAGUGUUUUUUUAUGUUUGUGAAGGGGUAGUGGAGGACAUAGACCAUGUUCUGGUGAAGUGCACAGUAGCUAAUCAAGUGUGGAUGGUUGGUCUCCCUGAACUCUUUGAGCUGGAGCUUUGGACUCUACGAGAUAUUGGGUGCUUGCCCUAUUGAGAGUAUCUUACAUUCUCUCUUCAUCACACAGAUAGACAAAUAGGCAAUCCGAUAGAAAGAUUAUGGCUUUCUUACUAUCAGCAAGCUCCCACAGGCGAUGGACUGCUUCUGACUUCUUCAUUCGGUUUGUAGCCAUACCGUAUAGAGUGAAAAAUGCCUUUUUUGGAAGUAGCUAGAUUCAAGCAAGCAUCCUAGCAAAACGAUCUUUUGACAAUGGGCUCUGCCUAACACUGGGACUGACUGACUUUAUACAGAGAUAGAAAAGGCAGCAAUCCAAGCUCUUUUUGAAUCGGAUAUUGGAUAGGCUAAGCUAGGUGUAGCUCGCUUUCUCUACGGUUUUGCUGAACUUGUCAAGCCCGGGGGGCCUUUAGGGAAUUUUGGAGAACGAUAGAUUCUAGGAUAACACGACACUAAGGUUCAAAGGGAUGGCAUGGGUUAAGCAUCUUACUUUGGACCUUCGAGCUAAGUUAUUUAAUAAGGGGCUUCUCCUACUAAUUAAUUGGAAAUCCUUUUUACAAAUAUCCUCCUCAGAGCGCCCUGUAACCUUACCUUUUCUGAAUGGUACACUUUAAGACGUUUGGAAUAGAAGAAGAGCAGUCGUCGAUUGAUUGAAAGUGGAUUGACGGCAUUCAUCAGUUGAUUGAAAAUGGACUUCUCUUUUCUGAUCGAGCGAGGUCCCUUUUGGGCUUAAAAGUCCUUUGAGCCGUUGAAUCCCUUUUGUCUUGAUUUAGGAGAAUAGGCGCAUUGAUUAGGUUACGUGGUUUGAGAAAUCUGCAGGAAGUUUCUUUUCUAUUUAUUAUAUAUACCAUUCAUAUUCAAGUAAGACGGAUAGGGCAUAUUUGACUAGGAAGCAAGCAAAGCAAGUCCCUCCAUACCAACUAGCAGUCUUGUUUAGGGAGUAUCCUUCUUUACUGAGUCAGGUUCCCGGGUGCCUAUGCGAUUAUUAAGGCAGGGUGCUACUGUACCCGUAGUAGAGUGGCUUGAAUCAAAUCGUUUGUCUAGAGAGGGUGUAGCGAUAACCAAAGCUGACUGUACUAGAAACUUGAGAUCCUGUACAGGCAACUGGCCUUAGAAUAGUGUAUUGAACUACAUGACAGGAAUGACCCAUAAUCAUUGGCGAAGAAGGCUUGGAAAAGGAUAAAACAUAUUGAAGAGAAGCUUUCACAAAGGCCAAUAGCCGAUAGCUGAUGUCACUAGCCUUAACUUCUUUAUCUACUUGAAAGUUGAUGAGAGUACGGCUUUCUUAAAGGAAGUGCCCGUGCCUAUGAUAUUUUUUCCUAGUAAAGUAAAUAAAAUUGGAUUCGCCUUUUUCCGUAUAUAUAAAGGCAAGGGAAGCUCUUCGUCGAGAUUCUUAUCCAUUGAAGAAAAAGACAGACUGAAACAUUAAGACUCAAACCUGCCCCUUUAUUAUUAUUAGUAAGUAAGAUAGGUUGCUUGAGCCAAUCCUUAAAUCGUGGGAGGAAAAGGCAUAAAAGUGAGCCCACCCGACUAAAGGGGAGAAAUACAGAACUUCAAAAUAAUCGAAGAGUGGUCGGAGGUUUGAUAACCCAAGGCAAAUCCACUUCACAUUAUCUUGUUCCUGGUCAAGCUCCCGUACCCGCUCCUUAGUCCCAUCCUCCUCAUCGAAUUAAAGUAACGUAAGGUUUCAUAAGAAACAAUUCAAUAAGCGUAUCAAAGAGAAUGAGGUCUAGCACUCCGAAAUACCAUCGAGAAAGAGCAAUAGAACAAGGUUAGAAUAAGAUCUCCAAAAUGGGUGGGACAACCAAAGGUAAUUCAAUGGAUAAUCGGUCUACUUAGUGCGUAGGCAGGCCCAACGGUAUCCAAUCAAUGUAGUCGGCAGAACAAAGGAAACAUGAAUGAGAGAUAAGAAAAAAAUAUAAGUACCGAGAGGAAAAUAAAGCUCGAAUCCAUAACAUUCUCCACGCACCCACCAUUCAUUAGCAGCGACCUUACCACACAUCAUUACCACCAACCAUUUCACUUGAAUCUGUAGCUUUGCUACCUUCGCAACUAGAGGCAAUGAAGAUAUUCUUCCUUUAUUUGUCUUUCUUGGCAUCAAUAACAAAAAGAACCAUAGGUGCACCAACCAAGGCAGAGAUUGGAGAUACUACAAUUGGAGUGCAGUGACCAUACCCGAGAUAGAUCUGAACCGACGGUUGCGGAGAAUAGAAUAGGUACAACGGAAAACCAUGGGAAUAACGAGAGGGUACGUAGGGAACAUGGCUGACCAAGCUCCUUUUUCUAAAGAUUGCAAAAAUUGGCCGGUGUUCUUCCCAACUGCUCCAAUAAACGUGCCUACACCCCAUUCCGUCUAGAAAAUGAUAUGAUUGACCGAUAGUACUUAUGAAACCCGGCACUGAACUAAGGGUUUGAUUUGCGACCUCCUGAACUGUUCGCAUUGCUCUCCUCAGUUCAAGGCUAUGAUGAAAGUUCAGAUUGCCUUCCUAAUGUACGGAAUACGGAAUUUAGUCGAUGCUAAACCUCUGUUCUAGCUGAGACUAAUGGCACAGAUUUCUAGUGCUAUAACAGAAACUGCCCUUAACGCGCAAAUGAAAGACCUCACAACACUCUUUACCUGCAACUGCUCCCGCUUAUGGUAGUAGAUAAACAGGUGGUGGACAUGUAUCUGUAGCCUCUGCUGCUGGUAGAUUGACUGUUUUAUAUGGACUGAAAAAAACAGAGGGUAGUGCUUGAGAAUGCUACUCUAUUCCUGGAAUUAGCCAUCCCCUUCUUUGACUAUUCGACCUGCUCCUCGAAGCAAGGAAGGGAAUGAAGAUGGCAUUGAAUGCCCUUUCCGCAAGAAGGAUAGGAGUUGGCUUACCGCAUCUACCUUCUCAUCGCGGGAUAAGGGCUGGGGCGUUAACUCAAGUACUAAAGCUGCUGGAGCGGCUGCCUUCGUUGAUUCCCCACGAAGGAAUCGGAAUAUCGCUACUUCCCCUUACUGCCCUAAGCGGGGGAGAUGGAUUAAAAACCUUGUGUGAAGGAAAGGCUGUCAAAGUCGUUGACCAUUAAUCCGGUUGAAGGACAAAUGGAUAGUGAAUCAACGGAAUCGAGUUGUUCUAAGGACUCGGAUUCGGCAGUCGAGACAUCUAUAUCUAUGGAAUUUCAAAAGAGAGAGAAGGAUCCGAAUCUGACCCGAGGACGAGCUCAAACCUUAGGGUUUGAAAAUAAGAAGUAAAUCUCUCGUUUACUUCAAUCAAAAAAGGUAGGUCAUAACACAUAUUGAAUUAGACCUUACUCAAUCACUCAUCGCUGGAAAAAGUAGAGCGAUUUCCUCGCAAAAAAAGCACGAGCGAGAUAUUCUUCCUUAACAGGGAUCUCAAUUGCGGGAAGAAGUACAAAGGGCAAAGGCAGAAGUGGAAGGGUCAAACUCCUCUAUCGGGGAAAGACAAGAAGGAUAAAAGUGUAAAAUCACUUGUUUAAAACAUCUAAAAAAUAGAAAUGGCUAUUAGAAGUUGUAUUUUUGGUGGUCAAAGGGAAGGAAUCAGAAAAGAGGGAAGCGCUCUCAAGGUAGAAUCAGUUCCAGGCAAGUAUGUCCAUUGAAAGGAAAGAGUCCCUAAACAAAACAGACAGGUUUUCAGCAAAUAAGACGGGUCCUGGUCUUCGGCAACAAAAGAAGCCGAAGCGAGAGCUCGAACAAAGAACCUUUAUAGAUCCUCAUCAUCCUCAGGUUCUGGAUACACAACGAGAAGGGAAUCUUCCUGUUCGAAUGGAAGAUUUUUGAAAGAGAGGGGAGAAAUCAAUCACAUGCGUGAGCGGAUCGAGCUAUUAUAUAAUAAGUAAUGGCUGAAAAAGCUAUUCUUGGUAGAUCCACUUGUCAAGGCGCGGAAAGCCGCGUUCCUUCUCAGCUCACGCUUUCCUGAUUGAUUUGAAAGACCCUACACACCACCAUAUGCUUGGAUUUCUUCCCACUUUCAAAGAAUUUGCUAUCAUUCUUUCGAUUCUAUCUCCUCGCUUUAGGUCUUAUGCUUCUUAUUAAAGGGGUUAUGCCACUCUGAGUCCAUCAGUGUUGAAAGAAUGGACAGAGACAUGCAAAUACAAAGUACUAAUUUGACUACCGAUAGAGAGCAGAGCUAGAGACAAGAUGCCUAGGACCUGGAGGAGAUCCAUAAGAACCAAGUUGUGGAGAAGAUAGCAUCAAACUGGAGAUAAUAAACCUAACUCUCCAUGCUUUAAUCGAGAAUGGAUACAGGGUCGUCGAGCGAAACCUUUAUUAGGGGGUAGACCUACCUUGUUUUGUUGACUUAUUGCUUUCCAGCAAAGCGUGCCGGCCCUAUCUCUAAAGCACCAAACUUCCACAUUUUAGGAGAUGCCCUAUCUUCCCUUAAAGAGCCAGCUUAUUGAAUAGAGCUGUCACUCCUUACCUUACCUAAGACCCCUUCGGGAUAUCUUUUGAAAACCUUUUCUCUGAAAAGAAAAGAUGUUUGCGAUCCCUUGCCCGCUCGAUUAAAGAAAGUGGGAUCUGGCCUUGCAUUUUUUAGAUAGGGCUCCCUCACGGCAUUCUUGCUCUUGCAUUUGAAAGUCGAAUCAGGAUUCCAUCUAGAGAAAGGUUCCGAUUGGAACUAGUGAAUGUGUAUGCCGAACGUAGGCAGGUAUACCUGACCUUUGAUAUUAAGCUAUGAUCUCUCUUCUCUCUCUUGAAGUUCCCACAAAGCGACUCUGAACCUAAGACCGGGUUGUGGGAUGUCUUUUGAUAUUCUAAACUAAGAAAAUCGCAAUUGGAUUUCUUUUUAUAUCCCUAUGAUAGGAAAUGAAAGAAAAGGCCGAGCUUAAGCCGAUCCCAUUGCGGAAAGAAAAGAGGCUCUCCCAUUCCCACCUGAUACGUCAAAAGCAAUUGACUAAUAGGGGAACCAACCAGUCGAAUUCGAUUGAUUAUGUCACUCCGCAUUACUAUAAAAGGGCAGCAUCUUUCUACUAAAAUGGGCUUUGGCACUCCUUCCGCUAUUACUCGAAAUAAUAAUAAUAGUGAAAGGGUAGUCGAAUUUGUGACUACGUCAAAGGCUCGUUUCACUUGAAUUUAAAGGCUCUAACUCCUACUUAUUUAUAUUAAUUAAAGCUUGCCCAUGGCUGCUUUCUUCCCGUUUCUUUCUUCUUUCCACUAAUCUAAUGGUUUCAUUCUCCCAUCGAGAGGUUACGAUACUAGCAAGAGUUCUAUUCUUCUCCUCUUGAUCCUACCUUGGGUUAUGUUUGACAGGGAUGGUCAGUGAACUUCUAUUGGUUUCAGAGGAGGAUAGAGAUCCAUUGGGGAAGGCUCGAAAGGUUAUUCGAUAUCAAGGUUGACCCUCGACGCGCCGCAGCCACUAUUUUUACUCCUUUUAUGCAAUUAUGAACGAAACUUUCUUGAUUCCAAUGCAACUUAUCCUUUUGGAGUUGACGUAACAAACUACGCGAGCCUCCCGAUGAAGCCAACAGAAAUGCUAUCCGAAUACUAAAAAUAAAAGGCAAUUUCAUUAUGGUGGUAUACCAGCCGCCAGUUCUGGAACUUCCAGUUCCAAUCGGAGCAUAUAGAUCCGUAAAUGGAUUUGUAUGUAUAGCCACUUCAGUCGUGCUCCUCGUUUCUCGAAUGAAAAAAAAGUAUCUUCUUUCUGGGAACAAGCUAAACCAGAAAUUAUUACGUUCGUGAUUCUUCAUCCACCGAUGCAGAAAAUCUUCCAGUUUUCCAUUCUCAUAUGAGGCAGGAAAGUUUAUGGGCAACAGGUCGGCAUGAAGUGAUUCAUCAUGUUCAAACAUGAACCUUUCGCUCGUUGGGGACGGUUUAUAAAUCAUCGAAUUCCCACAAAUGGAAUGAGAAGUGGGUCCAUGUAAAUGACCGAGACCUCACAAACAACAACGUUCCUUCCCCAUAUGGAGUUCGGGACCCAAAGGCAAUCGUUGAGUGAAGUGUAUCUUAUUCGUAUUAGUUGACCUAAGCCGCACCAUUAUUGCAGGGGUGGGGCUCGGCCUCCGAACCGUACGUGGGACGAGUUUCUGCCUCAUACAGCUCGGGCCGAAGACCGGGGAAGUUGAGGAGAGAUGGGGAGACCGAACUGCUGCCGGUCGGGACGGACAGGAAAGGGGGCGGGGUAAGCUUGUGAAGAAGCAAGCUUAUUGCCCCACCCCCCAAAAACAAACCAAACCCAGCAAGAAAAUGUAUCCGCUUUAGCAACAAAGCGCUCAUCCCUUGCUUGCUGCUUCGCGUUCUUUCUAUUCCAUCCCAGUCCAUUCCGGGAUAGGCGACUAAUAUAAUAUGUGCAGUAGUCGUCGUCUCACCAAUCGGCCCGGACACCAGACCGCUUGUGCUCGCCCAUUCUGUCUCGCCCUAAAUGGAAUGGCUCUCUUAGUUACGCUGUGCCCCGACCCGAGUCCCCACGUCCGCUUUUAUCCGCCCGCAACCUGGCCAACACAACAUUAGGGCCGUCCCCCCCCAUUCUAUGCUGACCCGGGCCGGGGCUCGCUUUUUAGGAAGCCCGUUCCCACCGCGCUCACUGCCCGGCUGGCCUGCCAGCGGUAGUGGGAAUUCUCCCGUUCCCUGGUCAAAAAAGGUUGGUUGGAUGCGGGAUCUACUCCACGAGGAGCGGUACGGACGUAGAUGAUAUCAUCACGAGCUCUCUUUGCGUACCGCUAGGGAUGCUUAACGCCACUUCGCCAACUGGCAUUACUUCCGCUUUCAUGUCUCUCAGUGUGGUUAGCACUAGGUGUUUCCGAGCAGCGAGGCUUACACCCAUUCGCAUUAAUUCAUACAAAGUUCCUUACCCUUAUGCACGAAUUUUGGAAUAAGCCAUCUUCCUAUCAAGGUUAAGGAGUCAACUGAGCAUCUCAGCGGCGGGAUUGAAUACCCGGAUCGAAUCAGAGUUCACGCCGCCCGCCCUGAACAAAUAGAAUAGGAGGCGUGGGCCACAAGUCGCACAUAAGCCAUCGGGUCGCACGACAGAAGAACACCCAACAUAAAGAUGCACACUCCUCCAUGUGAAAUAGAAAGAUUCAUCUUCACUUUUUUGUAGUAGUCGUGACCAACGGCCAUCAGCAGUCGGCUCGUUAGUAAGGUGAGAGCUUCAAGCCCGCUUUCUGGUGGCACACCCCCCAAACAAGCACCACUCGACGAGCGGGGGGCGGGGGGGGGGGGGAAGCUNNNNNNNNNNNNNNNNNNNNNNNNNNNNNNNNNNNNNNNNNNNNNNNNNNNNNNNNNNNNNNNNNNNNNNNNNNNNNNNNNNNNNNNNNNNNNNNNNNNNNNNNNNNNNNNNNNNNNGGGGGGGGGGGGGAAGCUACAUGCCCAAAACCUUCGACCCUUCUUUCUAUAUGGGGGUGCGUGGGGCAUCUCAUCUUGUCAUUUUUUUGCUCAUUCCCCUUAGGCCAAAGUGUUUGGCCUUUACUUCGGAGCGCCCGCUCACGCUUCGCUGACCUAUCGCGUGGUAAAGAGAAGAGAGUACGAAAGAAUUGUAAACAGAGCAGACCGCAAAAAAAUUCUAAAUAUGACAAGUCCCCCAUGGAUUCGAUAAUAAGGAAAUGAAGAACGGGAACAAAACGAAAUAAAGCAUUUCUAGCGGAUGAGGUUCUCUCCAUUUUGUCUGGUAAUAGAAUAGGGCGGCUUGCUUUGACCAACACUCCACUUUUUGCUCUGUCCAUGGAGCGUAUGAAUUUCCUUAAAUGUAGAUAGACCAAAAAAGGGAAUAAAGGGAUAGGAAUAGGAAUUAUAGUACCAUUGGAAGAAGAGGCACCAGUGGGAACAUCUCUACUGACGAACCAUUUCAAUAGUACAGGUGCUGCCGUGCCACGGGGCACGACCAUGGAAGUAAUGAAAAACAAGAAGUUCUGUAGUUGGACCAUCUGCUCUAUCCGUUCGAUUUGAGCUUCUCCAGAGAAGAUGAGACGAUAAAAAUGAAAGUGUUCGCAACGCAUACCGAAAAAGGGUACCUAUGUUGCCGACCAUUAAUGACUAGUUUGAAGACCAAGAGCAGGGGCACGAGCCAAGAAAGAUUUGUUACUUUCCCUAUGGUUUUCGAACAUUUUCAAUGAAACCUUCUCGUAGAAGUAUUUUCACAAAGUUUUCGGUAAUAUUAGUAGAUGCUAUUCGAACCCUUCCUUUUAUUAAGAUUAGAAUUCUUAUUCUUAUUAUUAUCUAAUUAUUCUUUUUUUUCAUGUAUAUGCGUCAGACACAAUCUACUAAUUGAUCUAUAUUCUGAUACCCUACUAUAUCAUAGUCUCUACUACUAGUAUUUUUAAUACCUCAGGAGCUCAUGAGACUCUUUUAGUGAAAUUCAUAAGUCUCAAUUCCCGAGCGAUCGCACCAAAAACUCGAGUUCCUUUUGGAUUUCCUUCUUGAUCAAUGACAACCGUCAUCAUAUCGUAUUAUCAUACCGUUGUCACGUUUGAGUUCUUUACAUGUACGUACAAUUACAGCUCGUCUUACUUCUGCCUGAUCUUUCUAGAGGCAUUUUGGGCACUGCUUCUUUGAUUACAGCAACAAUAACGUCACCAAUAUGAGCAUAUCAGUGAUUACCAGCUCCUAAGAUUCGAAUACAUAUCAAUUCGAUAGCCCCACUCCGUUGUUAUCCGCUACAAAAGGGUCUGAGUGAGAUGGAUCCUGGAAGUCUGGUUUUUGAUUGGAUAGUGAUCUCGGGCACGAGUGGUUGAUCUUCGCGGGCCGUGAAUGGCCAUGGAAAGGAGUAUUGAUGUCAAUAUGUUCGAUCGAGAAGAUUGGACGAUGAAAGACGGAUCCUUUGUGGUUUGAGUAAUAGGCUGUGGUCUCGAUAUUGGGCUAUGGGUUGAUUGCUUUAUGUAUGAGCCUCUUGUGAUUGGGCUCUCGUGGACGGAUUACCCGAUGUGUACUCAUCUUCCAAAAAAGUGGAGAGGACAGGGCUACUACUGGUCCACGCAUAAGAGCUCCUCUAUGUCUUUCCGAAAAUUACUUUGACUCGCAAAGGUGAUCCCAACCCACAAUACAAUCAGUAGUUUACUUAACUGAUAUAAAGAGUUUCCCCUGCGUGCCCCUACUAUCAAUUGAUAAUACAUAAAUGAUCCGGGGCUAGUGUUGGGUAGACGGGCCCACUAGAAUUCAAGUGCUUCUUAUCGAUUCAAUACGCCCUUAACGGAUCCCCGUGCUUUAUCUCCAUUGGGUGGAGCAAGACCCUUGUCCUAUCUUUUCUUUACACAGCAACAGAAAUGAUGGUUUCCCCUCGCUGCACUUACCAAUGAUAUCUCAGAAGAGAGAAAGACUUCUAUAACUUGCCAAUGAUAUCUAGUGGGCACUACGAACUCCAGGCAUACUGUACUUGACCACCCUACUUUGCUUUGUCCCUAUUAGGCGAAAUCAAUACUUACUUUCAAUUGGUAGAGAGGAAGAAGAGAACUGACACUAGUAAUAGGUUGAUGACUCCUCUUAACAGAACUGACACUAGUAAUAGGUUGAUGACUUCUUUGACUUAAUAGCUGGCCGACUUCUCUUCAUGGAUCACCGUUCUAUAUAGUUAGGCGCAACAUCGCGUUUAACCACCUAUCCCUAUUCCCUCAAUCGAUACCGUCCAACUAUCCUUUUAUUGGGACAGCAGCAUAAUUCUCGUUAGGGACAAUAGUUCCUAUACUUAACUAACCUCUGUGCGCAAUCACUGUUUGACACUUCAUUCUUUCAGCUUUACGUUCUUGACGACUCUGUUUGACGGAGCCUGACCUUGAACUAGCUUUUUGCAACACAAACCACUAUCUUUACUUUCCUUUAGCAAUAGUAUCUAACUAUCAAUUCAUAAGAGUCAAACGGGUGGGUCCAUCCCAUCUAUCAACAGGUCCUGAUACCGGAUCUGGGAAACAAGCAAUACUCGCCGCAAUCCCUUAAUGAAAAAAAAGACCUAUCUUCUCUUGAAAGACUGUCCUUUCCUCGCUUGUUAUUGUGAUAUCAAUGAAAGAAAGCUGGAUACUGACUUCUUCCCAAGAGCUCUAUCAGCCCUGAAUUCCUUAGCCAUACGACUCUUCCUUAGUUUCCUAAUGCUGGUGGCCCUAGCUAGUGGUGAGACGGGGCAUAUACUAUUCUCGGUCUUAUAACGAAGAGGUUGCCUAGUUUGAACCGAACACUAUACUUGAUCUCUCGUCCUAUCACAAACAAGUCUCUUCCCCCGAGUCCUAGUAGACUAGUCCAAGUAGUCCGGGACAAUAGCGUCCCAUCUCUUCGCUGACCCCUGGCACACAAUCACUAUAAGACAAAGAAAGACAAACCUCUCUUAUCCUUCUCGGCUAGAAGUUACAAGUUUCCUGUUCCAGUUUCGGCUUGAGGGAAGUGCCUGAAAUCGGUUCAAUUCUUAUCUCCGAUUUCGAACUCCGGCUGGUUUCUUAUGACCAAGAGCUAUUUUCUUGGUCAGAAGAAUGGAAGGACAACGAGAAGAUGGUUCGGUUGCUCCUGCUGGAAUAUUCCAUUUAUUUAAUACUCCAACUCGCGUAACCCCGAAUGGCAAUGUUGUUAUUGCGGUUGGUCGGAUCAAUAAGACAACAAGGGAGUCAGAAUAUUCUGAUAAUAGCAAAAAGGGCUUUGGAAUCUAUGGAAGGAGCCUUCAAUGCUUCUCCAGUGUCAACCAUUAGUCGAUAACAGAAUGAAAUGCCACAAUUAAGUUGAAAAAGAGAGUCAUUAAAAAGAGGCAUGCUUGAAAAAGAGUACAGAUAAUAUGUUAUGGAUGUGAGGAGCCUCACCCAGUACUUUUCUUACUAAACUAAAAAACUCUACUCUCCUUUCACAGCCAACCCACCCAUUGCUUUUUCGAGCUCGAUAAAAAGGAAAGUUCACGUGCCAAUCCUUACCAUUGGUAACUAUAAUUACCAAGCCUAAUCUUUCACUAAAUACCGAGUAAAGCAAGCAAGAAAGAGGGAAGGAGCAGCUGUUUUCGAGCUAGGCUCGAUCCCUUUUUCAUCCACUUCUCGCUAUUUUUAAUUCUACUUGAACUAGUUCUUCCUAAGUUUAGUGAGGUCAGUACUGCAUCCAUAACUAGAGGACUUGCUUUUCUGCUUGGCUCCCACGGGAAGUUGGAUUGGAUAAGAGGAAUUGAAGCGCAAGGAAGGCAUUCGGUAUUCAAACAACUAUUCAGAGUUCCCAACUCUGGGUAAAGGAAAUCUGUACUUGACGACUGAACCAAAUCCUUUGCCUUUAUUUAUUCUAUUAUUUUUAUAUAGAUCAGCUAAAAACAAAACAAAAUACUACUACGUUGGGACAAUGACCCACCUUUCUCUGCUCAACCUGUCAUCUUCUCUCCUCGCUCCCUGGGACAAAUAAGACUAUUCAUUAAGUGAUAAACAAGAGAAACUAGUGAUAUUAUCUAAGCUUCUGGCCAUGUCUGAUUGGCAUUCAAGUCUGCCUUCCAUUGCUUGAAAAGGCCUAGCACCGUAAGUAGAAAUUGGCUAUGUCCAAACUCAAACGUCGUAUUUUAUCUAAGCACAUGAGUUAUAAUAAGGAAAGAAGACAUAAGAAUGGGAAGUAUCCGCUAGUUAUAACAUAGUAUAAAGAUAGCUAUUUCAUGGAUCUUGGUCACAAUAAAAAGAAUCCAAUAAUGAUCUAUCAACUAAAUGAGUUUAUUAUAUAAUCCCGUAUCUUCAAGGUUGUUAAGAUGAUUUAGUAGAUGUGUCGGUAUCGUUUUCAUCUGCCGUGGGGAGUGACUGCUUUGCUAAUCUAUCCUUUUAUCCUUCUUUUCGGAGACAAGCACAUAUUACCGUAACCUAGUGAUUAAUAUAUCCCGUUGGUACUACUUCGUCGAGCAAUCAAUCCUUUUUCCAUUCUUGUUCUGAGGUUGUCAGCUUCCUCCGAUGGCACCACUUGUACUCUCUGUCGGAAUCUGUAGACAUAGUUUCUGGGCGUCUUUAAAAACUGAUCGACAUAGUUGUCACACACAAACCUGCGCAACGGCUUUGGAGUAAAAGAAUCUCCUGCCUGGUCACACACAUCAUCUCGAGCACGGAAUCUACUACUCUAACAAGAUACUCGGCUCGGGUAUAUCAUGCUUUCGUUAUGCGAGGAAAGUGAAAGGAAAGAGGGAAAGGGAGACACUGAGCAAUCCGGAAUCGAUGAAAUCACUGUUUUUCGCCUUGUAAUAUGUCCGGUUACAUUCCAAAGAUGAAUCAGAGCAGGAGAUAAGAAUUUGAAAAGUAAUGAUCAACUUUAUGGAUCCAUAGGUAGAUUCACUUGUGAAGCUAUGGGAUGGGACAAGAUUCAAAAGUACCAAAAGUAAGUUAAGUGGGACGCUGAGUUCAUUGCUGCAAUCGAGGGUCCAAAGCUUUGGGAGAAGAGGGGAUCUGUACCUUCAUCUGAAAACUAUUCGCCGGUUGUCCGCAUUCCUCUCCUCGAGCGAAAGGUGUUCCCACGCAAUCGCUAUCGCUGUUCCUACGACGUAGUCAAUACGCAUUGGAAUAAUGGCAUCCCCUCCACCAUAGUAAGAAGUAACGGGUCUACGCCCUGCUUCCUUGUUCGGUUCUGGUUACGGGAACGGUUGACUUUCGAAAUAAAAUACCCUUCUUCCCUGUUUUGCAAAUUCACCUAGAGCUAGCGAAGCGAGUCCGUUUCCUAAGGACGAGCGAUGAAGAGCUUUUUAGAAUUAAAUAUUGGUCUACGCCCUCCUUUGAUGCCCAGAGGAAGAAAAGCGAAGGCAAAGCAAUGGCAUGGGCAUGAAAGGCUACGUGAAUAAGUACUUCCCCGAAAGAAAGGGGGCAGUCUAAGGCGGGACCUAUCCACUACUUGUGAAGUAAUAGAAGAGAGGAUUUCUCAUAUCUAGCGGAAGUACCACUACAAAUGCUAGGCUCCGUGGAAAGGACAUCGGCUCCUACGCAUCCUACGCAUUAGCGAACCUACGAUAAAUGAAAUACGAAUUAUUAGCGCUAUUAGGGACGAGCUCCUGCUUCCUCCGUUUCCUAUCCGAUCAGAAAUCCUAUCCUUGCUAAAACCAAUCCAAUCCACGAAAAGCAUCGUAUUGUAACACUUGUUAAAAAACAAAAAGUGUUGUGAAUUCGAUUGAGUUCGAAAGCACAUUCCCUUGCUAGAGAUAUUCCUUUUAUUCAUCCCGGAUUGUGUGAAUGCGUUCACACCUAUCCCGAGUGGGUAUAGUUACGUGGUUAAGUAAUCCCUUCCUAUGCGAGGUUCAUUGUAUGAGAGAACAUAAGGAAAGGCUUGAUACAUCCAUGUCUAGCUCAUGUCGAUCUUCGUGUCAUUUUUCUUUCAUUAGCUUAGUAGGAUAGUCCACAUUGCUAGGAUGUGUGGGUCUAGUCAGGUUGUGACCCUCGAUCAAACCAUCCUAGCAAUGCCCUCUUCUCAAAACAGGCGUUCGAUGUACGGAUCAUCGCCGCUUGUCUUUGGGGGUGGGAUUUUGGAAUUGGAAGGUUUGACAGCGCGGCAAAUAAGUAAAUCUCUUGGACAUAGCUAAAGAGAAAUCGAGAUUGUGUGUUUGGAGUGGUGUAGAUUGUAGAUUCCAGCCGAGAAGACCAGGAAAGAUAAGGAUAAAGAAUCUUAUAUAACUCAGGAGCUAGAUCACUUCCCGAUGAACAAGUCAGAAUUGCCUCAACAAAAAUGGAUGGAAUUGGACCGAAAAAUCCAUUCAGCUUCGUUAUCGAUUAGGUAUCAGUGGGAACAUCAAGAUGAAUGAGUUAACUAAGUAUCAGAUCGACCAAAUUGAACAAAUGAUAGCUCAAGAUCAUGUUGUUCAUUGGGAAUUGAAGAGGGGAGAACGAGCAGACAUCGAACGAUUAAUUUCUAUUUCUCGUUAUCGUGGAAUUCAUCAUCAAGAUGGAUCGCCCUUACGCGGUCAACGAACUCAUACUAAUGCAAGGACUGCUCGCAAGCAAAUUCGGAAAUGAAAGAAGGCUACCGAAAGAACAAGCAACGGAUUUCGCGCUCAUCCCUUGCUAAAACGCAUACAUUUUCUUGCUCCUUGGUACUUGUCUGAUCAAUCACACUGUUCAUUAGUUCACUUGAUUUUUCGUUCGAUGUCUUGAACCGCUUACUAGUCACGUAUACGUAUAGUAGGCCCCCUUCGCCACUCCACGUCUGGCCCGUCUUGGUCUCGCUCACUUCACCCGCCUAUCGUAUCGGCUCGGCUUCGUCCGUCAAGCGACAGCUUCUGCCUCUGACGGCUUCACUAUCGCUCAUGACUGGUAGUAGUUGUCUCUAUGUAGUAGUCGGCCUUUGUUAAGCUUCGCCAGAAGCGACUAGUCGCUUCCCGAAUGCCUCUUUCAUGUACUAAUUAAUGUGUAUGGUCUAGUCUUUCCAAUGCCUCCUUCCUUGCCGCCAACGCACGCUAGAUGGAGAGUAAGCAAGCUACCUUUCUUGCAUUGCAUUCGUUAAACGGUAGCUUUUGCGCCCUUCCUGCCUGCUUCAAUUGAUGUGAAUGAUCGUGUCUUCGACAUCAAUUUCAGUCUGAUUAGAUAUGUCAUUGAAACAAAUCUGUUUUAUCUCUAUUUUCUUGUUGGAUGAUGAGGAUGAGCGAGCCGAUCCUAACAUAAUUUUGGAGGAGUCGGACGACGAAGCCUCAAAAUCAGAUAAAGAUGUCUCCGACGCGAUCGGACUUCCACUAGAUUUUUAUAGGGGUCAGGAGGGAAAACAUAUGCUGUUUUCUAUCAGUCCCAAGCGGAUACUCCCCAUCUUCCACGGUCCGCUUACCGAGGAAGAGAUGCGGGAGGACCCAGGGCCAGAGCAAGUUGGGUUGGGGUAUAGAGCCGUAAGCACGGUGAGGGUGAUAGAGGAUGUGCUCGUACGGUUCAUAGUUGGGUAUGAUAUUCUCGUGGAUUGUUGGGAACGUCCUCUAUAUUCGAAAUAUACCUUUCUAGGAGCAUUACGAUCUGCAACUCAAAUGGUCCCUUAUGAAGUCUCUAUUGGUCUUAUUCUUAUUGUGCGCCUUGUGAGCACGUUUGGAUCCGCGAAGGAAAUCGCUCGGAUCUUCCCCUAACCCAACCCGGGAACGGACCGGAGGGAACCGCAGCAUGAGGAAUGUCCGCGUCUCCUCGCAAGGCUCAUUUUGGGUUUUGGGUCAUAGGGCGGGCAGUGCAGUUCGGGGCACAAGGGUCCUGGUACUACCCAGGUGCGAAGAACCCUGGAGGCGACUGCAAUGAGAAAAAAUGUAACUCACCAGCCUAAACGACGAGCAAACACUCGAACGUGAGAGCAAGGGAUCACCCAAUGAAUGGACGAGCUCAAAGGAGGGAGGAGAUAGGGAGGCAAGAACCAUGCUUUCAGAGAAGUGGCGGUCCGAAUCCACUCUGACAAAAUAAAAUAACAGACUAAGCCGUGCCAUAAGGGGGGCAUUCUCCACACGGGACGGGGCCAAGGCCUUCAUGUAUGGGUGACAGAUCGGCCAUAGGAGCACUCCGGGAUAUACACCAGGGCAACUAAUGUCGAGCAUACAAUGAUGCCGCCCGUUUUCAUUUCGUGAAAGUCCCCGGCAGAGGAAAGGGCUGUAGGUGAUGGCGCGUUCUGCUUCUUAGGGCGUUGAAAUCGUUCCUAUGGGAUCGUGCGUGGCAGCUGGUAUAGAUGAUGAUGAAAGGCGGGCCGCUUGAACCGGGACCUAUUCUCAUAAUAGGCAGCAAGCAAAGCUAAAUAGGAAAGGGGGCGACUGAUGACUGCCUUUUUCGUCAGAAAUCAAAAAGGGUGGAAUGUGGAGCCAAUAUGGCUAGCUACAAGUAUAGCCAAAGAAAGAUGAGACGAGACGGACUAUCAGAGGACGCAGCGGGACUACCAGGGGAAAGCCCACCCCCUCUAGCUAACAUAGAUAUCUAUUCUCGGUGCGCAUAUUCGAGAUUUAGAACCUCUUUCCGACCAGGCUAGGCCGAAUCGGGCCACCACUUGGGAUGGGAAUGGCUCAGCCCACAUGCAUCAUUUGAUGAAAGCACUCCAGUCCAGUCGCCUCCGAUCAGUGGCUUGUCAACCACCGGACCGUAGCUCCUCACCAAAUGCCCCUGCGUUGGGGCAAAACAGCACAUGACCAGUUCGCUCAAGGACCACACCCUCUCGAGAGCAGGAUGCCGGCCGAGAUGGAGCGCUAACCUAGACUUUCCUUGGGCUUGCCUUGCCCCAACAUCUAAAUAAAGGGCGGGCGCCGAAAAGGAAGCAGUGACGCCUUUUCGACGAAAGCUUAGCUUGGUAGGCGCAGCUUACUCACCCUACUCCCUUAGACAAUGCAAUGCUCUGAACACGAAAGUUUGCAGUUCCGCCCUCUUCUCCCAUGCAGAGUCGCAGGCAGCGCCUCGGAUAAAAGCACGGACGAGCCACAUGCAGGGAAACUUGCACGUGUGGUUCUGGCCGGGGACCCCGGUAUACAGUACUAAUAUGUGUAGGUCCCUGUAAUUCGAGUGAGAUUGUCAUGGCGCAAAAGAAGAUAUGGUCCGGUAUUCUCUUGUUCCCCGUAUUGGUUAUGUUUCUUAUUCCUCGUCUAGCAGAAACUGAUCGAGCUCCCUCUGUUCUCCCAGAAGCGGAAGCUGAAUUAGUUGCAGGCUAUAAUGUAGAAUAUGCGCGGGAUGCAAUGCUUAAUAGUUCACUGUUGGCGGAAGCCAAUGUCUCGGGGACUCAUUCUGACUUAAACAAGGGGUGGGUCUUUACCAACUUCCAAAUCCAAGAUUUAGGGAAAAAAAAGAGGGGCAGGGCACUCUUCAUUCUUCAUUCGAAACUCAUGAAUGUCGGGUCGGAGGUUUUUGCCUUGUUAUCAAAAAGGGGAGUUGGGUAAAGCAAACUCCCUCCUUGGACGAGCACGGGGCUUAGUCAAGUAGAACCGGGUUGCGCUGCUUGAUGCUCCGAUUGAAAACAAAUCAGUGGGGCCAUGCCGGUACGACAAAAUAUGCGUUAGAAAUGUCAAUCCCUCCCCCCUUUUUGAUUUUUUUAAUGAAAAACCGGGCCGAACUUCUGAAAAACAGCCCACCCGCUUCCAUAGAAAAAUAUCGCGGCAACAUAGACCUAAGUGGAUUUAUUGGAUCCUAGGGAACCAUCACAAGUACGGCCAGCCUAUAGAACGAGAAUGCCGUGUCGUCCAGCGGAGUUUAGAAGAAGGUGACUCGGAGCCUAAGGAAGGUGACUCGCGCAGACAGCUGACUCCUUUUCAAUAGAAAGGAAUAGCCAAACCUACCCAACUGGCUGGUCAAUCUCAGUGAUCUUAUCGGCUGGCAAAGCGGAGACGACGACCACGGUCCCGACCUUACCAGCACCGUAGGUUUACUAAUCAAUGAAGCCCCUCAACCUACUAUCUUUUCUUACAAACUAAACCAAGCCUAACCAAACCCCAUGCUCACGACAUGUUCUUGAUAUUGUUUGAGUAGGAGGGACUCAGAGACUACCAUGGAAUGCUUCCAUAGUCACCCCGGUGACCUUCGUCACCAAAGCGUCACGACAGUUUCCAAGACCCCUCAUAUAAUCUCCAGUGGGGAUCAGUCGGAGCACGUAGGAAUGCCAACCACUACAUAAGCAACGUCUGGCUGAGGCGAGCAGCAAGCGGGGGAGAGUAUUUUGAAGUACAAGAACGUUGGGGUGGGACGCUAGUACUUAAACUAUGGUUGCAUCUUAGCGCUAAUCUUGCGUUUUUCAGCAGUUAGUUGUAGCGCGCCUUCCCUCCUUCUCUCAUUUCGGAAAGAUUUGGCAGUAUUUUCUUAUGAUGACCUGGUCGAGAGAGUAUGAAACAUCGGUGUAAAAGAUUGAGUGGGAUGGUUAUAGUAAGGGGCGAACCAAGUGCUUGCACGAAGAAGCGAAUCAAUCAGAAUGGAGACAAGGAAAGGAGGAGAGGCGAAACUCAACAAAAAGGGAAAAGGGAACUAGACUGACUAUCAUGAGCAAAGCGAGGGAAUUCCUUCUGAUUGGAUCCCUUAGGAGAGAGACAGAAGGUAUUAUGAAAUAGAAUCAGAUCUUUGACGAUCCAGUAUUAGCUACCAAGUGUAUGGACUCAGACUUUGAUGACUCCCUAGUGGCCAGGGAAGCGUUAGCUUCACCCUUUGAACGUCUCAUUUACUCUCUCUAGCUCUCGGCUUUACGUAUAGGAAUUUCAGGUACAUUGGUCGAUGAAAGUGAACAUCUAUCUUAUCUUAUCUUACGCCACUUACUCUAGUUUUACUUUGUGGAAGACGUCUGAUUGAAUGAUCUCCAGUCGGUUCUAUUACCAUGUGUACCCAGGCCUGCUUCCUUCUUUUUUACUAGCCUCUCUGCUUCUGUCAGUAUAGAGGAAAGUCUUCAAUCCCUUGAGAGAAAUCAAAAAAUGGCCAAUAAAAGAUACCUAGCAUGACACAUCAGCUAUGCCAUCCGAGCCUGUCCACUUGCUAGUCAGGAAAAAUAACCGCUCCGUUCCGUGGGCUUCUUUCGCUGCUCUCUUCACGCUCGCUUUACGAGUGCAACCAAGUUCAAUAAACUGUUCAUGCUAAUUCAUAGACUAUGCUGGUUUCUAUCUAAGAGUCCUGUGAGACGCUUCCUUCUCAUACACAUCUGAAGCAACGUUUGAUUAUCCGCAUUAGAGAGUUUUGCAGGUCCUUGAGAGAACGUUAUCCAAUCAGUUAUGAUUUGACCAUGGUCUGAGGUGAAAUUGGUCUUGGUCCAUAAAACGAAAGGUGCUGGGCAAGCGCAGAGAAGUCGUCUGAAGGGGAGUUCCAUAGGAAUGUUCAUCUUCGAUCAACCUUGGUUUGGUCCCAUGCCUAAAAAAGAAAUAAGGUCCAAAACAAAAUAGGGGUGAUAUAACCCACUGCUCUCCUAAGAAUGUACUGACGUAAUCCCUACUAUGGCUCCCCGAAGGAUCCAGCUGCUAAGAGGGUCCGAGCCAUAACGGAUUGAUGUGACCGUAGCGGCGACUGGAAUCGAUCUGAAUGAGGCAGUUAUGGGACUUUUCUUAUAUAACAAUAUAUAUGGAGGAAGGAUUCAAAAAAGGUGGGGGUCAAGGUGUAUAAUACGAGCUCCACUUUCACGCAAUGAGCUAGCUUAACCCUGAUUGCUUAAGGUUUAAUACAGUCAUGUUGGAUCUGCUACUAAGAAUGGAAGAGAAAGACUGAUUGCGACAGCUCAACCGGAUGAGACAUCUCUUAUUUACAGAACUGUGCCAACGUGUGCCUACAUUGUUUGAUUUACCAGUUCCGGGUAUUGGAUUUUGGAAUAGAAAGAAUGAAACUAGUACCAGCUUAUCGCCAACCGUGCUUUCUACCAACUCCGCCGACCCCAGAUGGGAAUAUUGAUUGCGAUUUAGCCGCACCUGAGCCCGCAACUGCUGCCUCUACUCCGCCUACUUCUUGUGCCGACUUCGCUAGCCUCGCGGGGUACCGAUUUCCUCCUGCUUUGUGUGCGUGCCAUUGACUCCUUUAAUGGGUCGAAACCUACUUAGUUCUCAUUUUUAUUUUGUCCAUACAAGAAAAGAAGGAUUUGUGUUUAGCAAGACAGAGAAUUGAAUAAGUAAAAAUAAAGUAGUGUGUACCCUUUACCGAAAAGCAAAUAUGACAGAUAAGGUACGACAUAUUGCUUAUUCCUGAUUGAUCUAGUUGAUGAAAGUUGCCUUGUUGGACCGAUUGUGGAUUGGAAUAGAAGUUUCUUAUAUAUAGAUAUUCGUGUUUACUGAUUUCGCAUACUGGGAAUGGAACUUGAUGUAACCCAUUGGAAACUCUCUUUGACACUCAUUAUCUGUUAUAUACGACAGGCUAAUUAAGUCCUUAAAUUUAAGAAAGGAGUCUUUCCUUACUUCCUUACACAAAAUUGUUAUGUUGUUAUGCUGCUCGUGCAAUCAAAACUUAGAAUAGAAGAAAAAGUGUUCCCUCGGGACCCAUCCUCUUCUCCUUCGCUUGUGUGACUAUCAUGAGAAGAAUUCCAUUCCAAGAAGUCAAAUAACAAGAAAAAGAAACGAGGUCAAGAUCCGUUGUUACCAGUACCGACGAAAUGGAGAAAGUGUCCUCCGGGAACGCAAUCUACUACAUUAGUUGGUGUAGCCAAAGAAGAGGAUAUCCCCUUUUUUGACUCAUUGGUCUUUAGACCAGACCCAUACCAUAGCUACAAACACUUUUGAGUCGGAGGAGACUGGCCAGAUCGCCUUCUCGAGGCUCUCUGGGCUUAUCGGACGUCAAUCUGUAUAGCCACUGGUCCCCUUCUCCUUAGUCGUUGGCAUGGACGCCAUUCUUCCCAGUGAACUCGACGAUUCCUUCCCUGCGCGUUCUGCUCGACGACGAUAUGACUGAUAAUCAGAAGCGAGAGGCUCUCGAAACUAGUCCUACUUGAUUCGAUCGAUGGGAGAAAAAAAGGUUACGAGCGGCAGAGCACGCACAAGUCUAUCAACGUCAACUCAGCCACGCUUUGGACCGAUCCUACGAAUAAGAGGCAUUAACAAAGCAUUUAUGAGACACCAUACUUUCAAUAGGAAAAGGCCAGCUCGAAGAUCAACGGGAUCUUUCUCCAAGCUAAGUUUCUACCCCCGAGGGAACCGGCCACGAUGCGUGGGGGUAUCGGUGCUGAUAAACUCAUCUCCGCUCAUCUUACCUGGAAAUGGAAAUAAAUUCUGGUAGAUUACCUACCUCAUUUGAGAUGAAGGAAUUUCCUACUUAAGAUUCAUAUGCCUAUUUUGUUGUUGAUGUGGAGGAAUUUGUACUAGCCUACUCGAUAUGUUCCUUGCCUGGUUCGCUAUAGGAAGUGCUUUCAGCAAAUGAGGAGGGGAAUAUUCAUAGGUAUGAAUCUUCCGUCAAUGGUUAAGGUUGAAGUGAAGGAAAACCUUCUUUGAAUUUUGACGCCUAAUUAUUUAGCUCUAGUAUUGAGAAAGAAACCAUUCAUACGACCAGGUCGCAGGAAUGCUUCUUCGGCUUACAAUUCCGAGUCAAGAACCGUAACUCGAGCACUUAGCCCUAGCUCUUGCUCUUUCCUUCCUUGCAAUGGGCUGCCUGUGUGCCUACUAAUAUUUACCUCAAUGGUGCGCUAACUUUAGAAUUAGGAUUUGCCAAAUUCAUAUUAGGGGGGCUAUGCAGCAAUUCGACCACUAUUACUGCACUAGAUAUGUCAGGCUUAUCCUAAAGAAAUUAUGGCUUCGCUUCUCUUCUUCCUGGUGAUGGAUAUAGUCUCGAUGGCUUUGCCCAAGUAUGGCAUAAAAGUAAAAUAGGAUAUCCUUCAAAAGGGAAUUUCAUGUGUGAGCACCUUGCCUCUUUUAGGGAAGGCUAUUUACCAAGUGAGUCUGCGCAGCAUGCUAUGAAACAUAAGAAUCAUUUGGAAUCCCAUUUGCACCCGGAUUCAGCUUCUUUCGAACUAGCAAAUGCACUUUCAGAGCCAACAACGGAUCGGCUUGGCUCAUUCCCCAUCUGGGGAAGAAAGAGUACCUAGAUCUGCAUCUACUAAGUAUGCCCUGAAAUUCAUGUUAUGAUUCGGUCUUUCCCAAAGCUAGGGCUUCUUUUCCCAUCCCUAUCCUCCGCGUCAACCUGUACCGGACCCAGAGUCAAAACUAAAAAGAGAAUGAAGUCUCGAAAACUCUUAGUUAAUAAAUAUUCGUGUGCCUACUUUGCUUAUCCUUCUCUGCCCCAUUUUAGAUAGUUGGGUAGAGCGAGGGAUAUCGGGGAAGGAAGAAAAACCUCCACUUGUUUUACGGAUUCACAUACUCGUUGGUAUGUUCAUCAAGUUCUCGAUUACUACUUAUGGUGCCCACUGACUCCCUUUAAUGGUACGCAGUCCCUGCCAAUUUAUCAAAAGAAAAUGCUAUCCACUGAGGGCCAAGCGGAGGAAGUGCAGAAAUCGCGUAUCCGUCUUAUCCUCGCUGGAGUACAGUGGCUAUAGAAAGAAAGGAAGAGUUCGAUUGCUUGGAGAAGGUAUUCUUCUUGGUCGACGGGACCUCCCCUCUUCUUACCCAGAAAAGGAAACGAGUCACUUCUUGCGGAACAGUAGAUCCGUUUGUCUUGAUCUACCUAAGCAGGAUUGAGUACGAUGAUGCUCCCUACCUAUGUGUACCUCAUACUUUUCGGGCUAGAAAUGCCAUAUAGUUAAUGGAACUAUCCAUUUUGGUCGAUCUUGAUUAGUAGAUUGCCAACUUCUUCUUCUUCUGAUAGGAAUCUUCCCUUUAUUAGGUGGCUAUAGAAUAACGAAACAAGUAAAGUAGGUUAUUCUUUACUAAGUUGGUUCCUCGACUCGACUGGUAAUGCAGAAAUCACCUGGGCUUGCAAGCUAUGUGAUGUGACAUACCUGGCUCAGCUCAAUCCUAUGACGAAUACCUUCUGCGCCUAUGAUGAAUACCUUCCUUUCCUUAGCGGAACAAAAACUCCUAUCUCCUGCUAAAGCUGGAUGCGCACCGGCACACGGGGCAAAGAGGACUAAGGAGAAGGGAUGCCAUACUAAUAGACUGGGCAAGCAAAGCAAGGCAAGCGUUGAUGACUCUCGAUUGAAAGGUUAAGAAAAGGAUGCGCAUGGCACGUGGAGCUAGCGACUUCGCGUAUUACUUAUUGAUCGAAAGUAGGGCUUACAGCAACCAAUGAAUACAUACCGGGAAGGGCUGAGAGCUACCUACUCCUUACAGGGCUGCGUUUACCCAUUCCUUGCCUAGAAGAAAAAGAAUAACCAUCUUCCCUCUUCUCCUCCCUUCACACUCGACUAGAGGGCGGGAUUCUUUCAUCCAAUUGAUGGCACUUUACUAAGACUGGAAAAACGGGUAAGAAACCCCGUAAAAUUGAUUCAACUUGACUGUCAUAAUUAAGAAAGUGAAGAGAUAGGGGUCAUGGAUUCCAUACGCCCGCUAGACCCAUUCUUAAAGAAAUGCGUAAGGCUUUGGGCUUUCACCGUAGGUUAGGUUCCUCAUCUCUCUCAGAUGUAGUAGUUCCAGUUGCUCCGGUUGUCUCAAUUCAUUCGAUUGUGAUAAGGCAAGAAAGCUAAUAGUUGAACAGGUGGUAUAGUCACCAGUACGGUAAUGAUGCUCGGCAUGUGGAAGUUCUCGUUUCUCAACGUGCCAUUUGGUUCUAACGAAUUGAACUACAAACGGGCUUUCCUUUAUCCUCCUUGUACGCCAACCUACUGACAAAACAGGAUUUCUAGUUGCCUCCUCCGGUGAAAACGAACAGUAAACAUAUUAUUAGACCUAGGAAAACCAAAACUCGUCGAACAGAAGAACCGAGUACUAUAGAAUCUAAAACACACAUAUGCGAGCUAUUAAACAUACUGUUCCUAUUUCUAAAUAAAAACAUAUUACCGCAGCGCUAAGAAAAGGGUUUGAAAGCUCUAAGUGGUACGAUAAGCGGAAUGAAUCAAACGAAGUGCAUCAUGAGGGUUGGGGAUUUAGCAUACGCUCUACUAUCAAUUAUAGGUUCACAUAUGCCCCAAGAAAGAGGUGCAGAGGUGGAAUUCAAUAGAUUUAAGCAACUUCAGUAUGCGGGUAGCGAUGCUUUUUGGAAUCCAAGAGAACUUUGAAUCGGAGGAACGAUCAACACAACUGGCAUGGCUUUGUUGAAUCAGGAUUUGAUGACAGGAACGUUGUUGAAAUAACUUCUUUACCCCCCGUAAAAUCCUUUAUGCCUGAUUUCAGUACUAACAAUAAAUGGCUAAAAACAUCCUAUUUUUUACUGUAAAAUAUGGAAAAUCAUAUGGGAAACGAAUAACGAAUAGAAGUAGCCUAGCCUUUUCUUUCAGUCUCGGUCUCUACAUUCCCUUGUUCUUACUGUAGCUAGCACUUGUUUUUGCAGUCAAGGAGCCAGGAAGCGGGCGGGCCUUCAAUCACAUUUUAGCUUGACGUUCUUCUCCUUCUUGGGGGUCGACUUGUAGUAGCAGGCGUACAGGACGAGGCCGAACAGCGCAUCGAGGCCAUUGGCGAUCUGCAGUGCACGAACGAAGACAAGAGCCGACACGGUUAGAGAGACACUCUCAAGUUAUAUAAGAUUUGGUUGGAAUCUGAAGAUGGAGAUAUUACUGAUCGUGACGUAGAGGUUGAAUUUGAUGAGAGCGUAGGACGUCCAGCAGACGCCGUUGAGGAAGCUCACCAGCGACAGGAAGAAGGGCAUGUACUCGACGCUCUUGGUCUUGAUCACUUUACCCUGCACGCAACCCACAAUACACAUUAAUUCCUCCCUGCAAAAAUAUAUAUUCAUUAAUUCCAAGCAGAGGAUGCAACAGCUCGAGCGUUCAAAAAAAAUAUAUAUUACACAGACAUAGGUAAUUAACAAGAUUGAUUCUAUGUUCUAUGUAAAAUGUAAAUAAAUUCCACAGGUAAUAUUGGUGAACUCUACACCUGGACCACAUGACCCACGAGAAGAAACCGACAUACAGGAUCCCUUUUCUGUUUCAACGUGAUCAUCUCACAGAGUUGGCAAGGGAAGAUCAAAAAAAGCACAGACUGGUACAGGGAACACAUGUACUAUCUCCAUCCAAGAACACAUGAUUCGAAAUCUAGCACACCUGAAACUUGCAUCCCCUAGGUGAACACAUAUGUUUAUGAUGAAGCUGAACAUGAAAGAUUUCAUUAGAUGAAAUAUUCCUCCCGUUCCAGACCCGUCAAUCAACAGCCAACGAGUUUGGCGAGAACAACAGAACAAGUUUGGUUGGCUAAUCAAUUGUACAACAUAACUACCUGUAUUGAAUGCAACUGCAAGUAACCAAGGAUACCGCAUCGAUAAUCAGAGGACACGUAGGGGCUACGGUAUCUUUUUAGGUAGAAACGAACAAUAGGCCUUUUGACGGAACAUAGAGCAACAUGGUCUUGGGAUGUGCCACACGAACACCAUGACAGUUUAGCCCAAAAGGUAGCACGUUGGUUUUUACUGGUAAAAAGGGGGAAAGAAGAGAUUUGACACGAUGGUUAAAACAGGACCAUUGAUGCAUCUUUUAGAGAUGGAUUUGGUUCCAAAAUUGGCUUCCGCAUCCAUGCUACCAGAACAAAUAGCAACUAAGGUAUGCUAAUAGUGGUACAUAAUGAAUGCCUCAACUAUAACCUAAUGAGUCACUUGCCCUGAGUAAGCUGCAAGAUCCUUCACAGAUCACUAUGUCUAGAUCAUGCAAAAGAUUUGAAAGAUGAUGGCAACCCAUCAUUAAUGAGUAAUCAGAAAAGAACCUGGAGACUGGAGAAGAUGAAUAUGGCUAAUCUGUUUUUAAAUAGAAGUUCCAGAAGAAUUAAUAUCGACUUUUUUAUCUUAAACAGUAGAACCCCUGAAUCACCAAUCCAUUCUGAACUGCAAAGGCAACGUGUCACUGACAGCUGGGUCCAAAAAAUCCUUGACUGACCCAACAGUAAGUGACCAUACACGACAACUUAACCUAUGAAACCCUCAUCCACACAACACCAACAACAUCAUCGCCGCCACCAACCGAAGGGGAACGCACGCCUAUUCCCCAACAAUAUCACUAACAUCUACCAAUAUAGAUCUAAAAAGACAUCUAUGCACGUGGAGCGAGAUUGAUGGGUACGUACCAUGAUGGCGAGCGGGGAGGCGUACAUUGCUGAGCCGAAUAUGACGCAGAGGAUGCCGUAGAACACCCAGAGCAUGCAGUUGAGCAGCGUCGCUAGGUACGGGUCCGACUUGAACUCCUCAAGUCCUUGUUCUUGAUGAUCCGCCAGAACGUCGGCCUGCACAUGUACAAGCAAAAAGCAAGCGCCCCCUCAUCAGAAUCAAACCCUAAUUACCAACCACCUUCCAUAGAGAGUAGACUAGACAAGCGGAUGAGGGGGAUGGCGGCGGUGGCUUACACAGGGUAGAGGAAGAGGCCGAAGGAGAUGACAUUGCCGAUGAUGUUGCGGGCCGCGUCCGGAGAAAUCAUCUUUCUUUGCUCGCCGCGAGCGGGUGGGGACUUGGGAUUGGUUUGGAUUGGACGGCGCACGCGGCGAAAGGGAGGGAGAGAGAGAGCCAAAGCAAUUGAGAUUUGGGAGUCGGUUGAGGUCGAGGGAUUAGCUUAUAUAGAUAGACGCGGCGGGGUAGCGGUGUUUAUCCGGUCUCGUGUUAGAUCCUAUGAUUUGGUUAGUUAGCCUACGAGAACAAGUCACAAGUUUCGAGUUUUACUAUGCAUCCAGUUCGUUGCUAUCUCUAUCUUUAUCUACAUGGAUAUUAACACGCACUAUUCUUGAGAGUCAAGACACCGUUUUGCUUUAAAGAGCAAAAGAAAUCCCAGAUAAUUACUAAUGCACUGUUGAGUACACAGAUUCUUUUCCUGUUCGUACUGGAGUAUAGUAAGGAAAAACUGCUUGACCGAAUCAAGGUCAAGAUAACUAGUGUGAUUCCUACACUGGGAGAAUCGUGGAUAUGUAAGGAAUAGAGAAAUUCCACCCGCCUAAGUAAAGAACUGUUACAAAUAAAGAGGAAACUAAUAAGGAUAAGUAAGAAACAAGAAAAAAGAAACCAUAUUUAAUACCGGAAUAUUCGGUUUGAUAACCUGCAACUAAUUUCCCCUCUGGGUAAUCUUUCACAUUCGGCCAAAGAAGAAAUUCUAAAAACUAGAAAGCCUAUAGGCUGACACCAAAGAUUCCAUAAAAAACCAUAUUUUGGCUGUGCUUGAACUAUAUCAACUGUACUUGAACUGUUAGAUAAUCAUAGUCGAUAAUAACAUCACAGCUCCCACCGCUAUUGCAAAACCGUACAUGAAACCUUAGCUUCAUACGGCUCCUCUAUGAUUAGAAAAAAGGACUGUUUCGGUAUUAUCCCCCUGGUUUAUCAGUUGCAGGUGAAUCCUGUGAAACAUCUCUCUCGAGGCUAGUAACAACACUUGGAAAUGAAAAAUGAGCUUAGCGGUUGUACCAGGUCAGGACCAUAAACACCACGAGCCGGUUAAGCAACAGAAGCUGUGGGCGAAAGCACACUCGUCAUUCUCAGACCUGCGGUCGAGGUACAUGCGAACAAGUUCCCAUUCUCUAUGUUUCAUGGCCUAUCAAUGAAAGUCGGUAUCAGGCUGGCUUGCAUUGCGGGUCGUCUCCUUAUAUACCUAAAUCCUCGUUUCACUCAUCUAUAAAGGUCUACCCUUCGAAAGGUAGGUUGAGUUCCCCCGUAUGUAACCAGCCACACUCUACUCGCAGGUCAAAUAUUGGCGUAGACAACAGAGAAUGUGCUAGGUAGGAAACCGGAGGAACUCUUACUAUACGAGAAUCUUCAAUUCAAUAUGACAACCGAUCAGAAGGGAUUGGACGAUGCCAAUGCAUUGCCCUCCUUCUCAAUACCAGAACUAUCUGACCGAGCUCCAUCAACACAGAAAGCAGAAGGGACAGCAGAUACGGAUAGACUGGAUCCAGAAAGGGAUUUCAGCCAGUCCUUGCCUAUUGCUGGGCUGGUUGUUUUGUCACGGUCCGAUUAGUAGAAGAUGAGUGAGUAAGACGAGGCCCCCGAAGAGUAAUGUAGAGCUAUACUGCUCUUGUUUUUCCUUCCGCCCUGCUUAGGAGAACUUUGUCUAGAACCCACUUUAGCUAGCUUUCGAGGAUACCAUUACAGAUGAGUGAAGCGAGUAUACCUUUUCCGGACCUCCCGAGGUAGCGCGGUAGCGGAAGCCCUUUCUAGUUCAAGCAGUUCCAAUUCCUAUUCCGCUUCACCGCUUACACCACACUCUAUUGGUUCACCUUGUGGUGCCUUUCGAUCAAGGUCUACUUUGGUUGAUCCAAUUUGUUCUACAGCGCGUUAUCCGCAUCGAAGUUAGCCAGAUUCCUACCGCUUCUUGAUAUUAUGGAUUUUGCAAUCCCUGAACGCUAGUGCUUCUACAACCAACGGAUACUAUUUAACAGAAAUAAUAAGUAGAAAUGGACAAACGAGUGUGGCUACAUAAAGUGAGGAAAAAAACAUGGUGGUACCAGCAUUGCGUAUCACUCACUAUGCUUUAUGUAAUAUGGCCUACGUCGUCUCUCUUCCAGAACCUCACAAUCAUCAGUGUCUGAAGUUUCAUGAUGAAUAUUGGUUUCAAAUUUUAUUGCUUACGUGAGAAAAUAUCAAUUUGGAACUCGAAUUUGUAUUUGAGUUAUGAUGAGGAGUGAGGUAGAUUCGCAUUGUUGAAGAAAGCAAAGAAAAAGGAUGCUGCUAUGGCUUGCUUGUGGCUCUUUCUUCUAUUGGCUAGUCUCAGGCAUGAUAGUUUCAAUUUCUUUUGGAAAGCAAGUGCGGCUCAGUCAUAAGUGUUAGUAAUAGCAUGAAGUAAGUUGUCGGUAGCCGGCAUUAGAUAGAAGGAAAAGCUUCUCAAAAGCAUCCUGAAAUAUCAUAGAAUGGCGAUCGAGAUCACCUUCACGGGAAUCAUCCUUUGCAAAUUGGGGGAAGGGAACCAAUCAAGUCACCAACAAGUUCCCGAAACUUGGUUUAGUAUUAAGGUUCUUCUCUUCCAGCGUUUACUAUUCAAGUUCUUCUCUUCCAGCCCCCUGGCCCCUCUCUGAUAAGUAAAGUUUUCAAAACGAAAAGAAAAUGACAAAUCUGGUUCGAUGGCUCUUCUCCACUACUCGCUUUACUACUUUCUAUUUUUUCAUAUGUAUUAAGUUUCCCUUAAUAUAUAAUUUUAUAUUACUUUCGAUUUUUAUAUUUUUAUUCCUUUGGCGUUUUAUAUUAAUAGUAAUAGCCGUUUUCAAUCUUUUUUGUUCGUGCUUCAUCGGCUCCUCCUUUUUGAUCACUCUCCCGCCGGAGAUUCAAGACCCCCAGGCUCUAGCUCAUUUAGCAGGGCUAAACUUCUAUCUGAGUCUUUACGAGCAGGAUCCGGGAUGGGUUACGUUCAUUUAGAAUGAGCUAAAUCACAAUACCCCCUGGAAGACAUACCUGGGCGGCUUAAGCUCUUCCUAAUGGAAGAAAAGCUCUCUUCUAUGCGACAAGAUGUCAUUCAGGAAUUUGUGGCGCUUUAUCAAAGAGUAGGGCCUUAUCUACCGAUCGAGCCCUACUUGGUCGAUGAAGCGCUUCAUUCCUAUCUUUUCCAUAUUCACGCAACUGAUUCUUUCACUGUUCUCCAAGCGUCUUAUCAAGAUCUGCGGGAGAAUGAGGGAGGAUCAGUUUUCCUUGAAAAUGUUGUUUCCCACAACCGGGAUUUCCUUGAGGCGGAAAGCUCCGCAAGGAGGUGCCUGGAAGUGGAACAGAGGAUCCGGUGGGAAGAAAUCCCCAAGAGCAAGGCAAGUCUCGAAAAGGCGGAGCACGAGCAUGCUCUCGACUUGUUUAAGUCGGGGGAUCUUAGAAGGGAAUUAGAAAAAAAAGAGCGGGGUAGCUCAGUAAUUCUGAUUCUUUUCUCUUCCAGCAUUUACUAUUCUCUUUCUUCUCUUCCAGCCCCCCGGCCCCUCUUUGAUAAGGAAAGUUUUCAUUUCUAAAAAACAACAAAUGACAAAUCUGGUUCGAUGGAUCUUCUCUACUAACUACAAGGAUAUUGGGACUCUCUAUUUCAUCUUCGGUGCCAUUGCAGGAGUGAUGGGCACAUGCUUCUCCGUACUGAUUCAUAUGGAAUUAGCCCGACCCGGCAAUCAAAUUCUUGGUGGGAAUCAUCAACUUUAUAAUGUUUUAAUAACGGCUCACGCUUUUUAAUGAUCUUUUUUAUGGUUAUGCCGGCGAUGAUAGGUGGAUUUGGUAAUUGGUUUGUUCCGAUUCUGAUAGAUGCACCUGACAUGGCAUUUCCACGAUUAAAUAAUAUAUCAUUCUGGUUGUUUCCACCAAGUCUCUUGCUCCUAUUAAGCUCAGCCUUAGUAGAAGUGGGCGGCGGCACUGGGUUGACAGUCUAUCCGCCCUUAAGUGGUAUUACCAGCCAUUCUGGAGGAGUAGUUGAUUUAGCAAUUUUUAGUCUUCAUCUAUCAGGUAUUUCAUCAAUUUUAGGUUCUAUCAAUUUUAUAACAACUAUCUUCAACAUGCGUGGACUUGGAAUGACUAUGCAUAGAUUACCACUUUUUGUGUGGUCCGUUCUAGUGACAGCAUUCCUACUUUUAUUAUCACUUCCGGUACUGGCGGGGGCAAUUACAAUGUUAUUAACCGAUCGAAACUUUAAUACAACCUUUUUUGAUCCUGCGGGAGGGGGAGACCCAAUAUUAUACCAGCAUCUCUUUUGGUUCUUUGGUCAUCCAGAGGUGUAUAUUCUCAUUCUGCGUGGAUUUGGUAUUAUUAGUCAUAUCGUAUCGACCUUUUCAAGAAAACCGGUCUUCGGGUAUCUAGGCAUGGUUCAUGCCAUGAUAAGUAUAGGUGUUCUUGGAUUUCUAGUUUGGGCUCAUCAUAUGCUUACUGUGGGCUUAGACGUUGAUGCGCGUGCCUACUUCACCGCAGCUACCAUGAUCAUAGCUGUGCCCACAGGAAUCAAAAUCUUUAGUUGGACCGCAACCAUGUGGGGAGGUUCGAUACAAUACAAAACACCCAUGUUAUUUGCUGUAGGGUUCAUCUUUUUGUUCACCAUAGGAGGGCUCACUCGAAUAGUUCUAGCAAACUCUCGGCUACAAAUUGCUCUACAUGAUACCUAUUAUGUGGUUGCACAUUUCCAUUAUGUACUUUCUAUGGGAGCCGUUUUUGCUUUAUUUGCUGGAUUUUACUAUUGGGUGGGUAAAAUCUUUGGUCGGACAUAUCCUGAAACUUUAGGCCAAAUCCAUUUUUGGAUCACUUUUUUCGGGGUUAAUCUGACCUUCUUUCCCAUGCAUUUCUUAGGGCUUUCGGGUAUGCCGCGGUGUAUUCCAGAUUAUCCAGAUGCUUACGCCGGAUGGAAUGCUCUGAGCAGUUUCGGUUCUUAUAUAUCCGUAGUUGGGAUUCGUCGUUUCUUCGUAGUUGUCGCAAUCACUUCAAGCAGUGGAAAGAACAAAAAAUGUGCGGAAAGUCCUUGGGCUGUUGUACAGAAUCCAACCACACUAGAAUGGUUGGUACAAAGCCCUCCCGCCUUUCAUACUUUUGGAGAACUUCCUGCGGCAGAAGAGACAGAAAACCUCUCCUAACUAUGAAGGAAGUUUCAUAGAGAUAGGUGUGGGGACGGGGACAACAAUUGCUUUAGCUGUUUUUUCAACUAAAGCGGGGCUUCUUUCUAAGCCUAAUCCCUUCACUUUUGAAACAUAAGGAGUUUUUGUGUAGUGAUCUCUGUUCAUGGAGAUCACGAGGCCACUGAUACCCUAUGUGGAUAAGUGGGAUAGAAGAGUGGGAAAGCGGGCUUCUAUCACAUAGUUUAUCUUUCAGGGUACAUAGGACGGCCCUCUCGUCAUUACCUUUUGUGCUUACCCGUAGCUAGUUGUGCCUGAAGUCAUGGAUGAUGCUAUUCCCACUGAGAGAUGUGCUGCAAAAUGGAAGCUGUGUUAGUCCUCGGCUAAAAUCAUCUUCCUUUAUUAAAGACCAUAUAUAUCCAUAUGUAGAUAGAAGAGGGGAUAUAGUCGUUCAAAGCUAAGGUGAGUCUGUUCCAGCUAAUUCCUUGGAUUCCACUUUCCUGUCAGUCCAUGUAAAAAGGAGUCCAGCCCACAAGGAGAGGGAAUCCACAAAAAUAUUUGUUUUAGAUGAUUUCUACUAUGUUUCAAGUGAUCAAAGAAUAGUAUAGUAUCUUUAGACAGAACUGAAAUAGCAGAUGCAGAUUCGAAUGUUAAGGUUAUUAAAGCUUAAAAGAAAAAGCAGUCAUAGGUUAGGUGACUAAGAAAAGAAUGUGGAAAGGGUCAUAGAUAGGAUUGGUAUAUUAGUUUCAGCUAUAACAGAGAUUUCUCAGCAUGUUUCUAUCUGGUUGGUAUCCGCUCGUACCAUUCAUUGUGAGUUCUUUUAGGGGUUGCUCAACUCUCGGCUAUUUUCACCAUCUAGAUGAUUGCAUCUUCCCGUUCUCACAAUUUCUCAAAGGUUAUUGUAUCGAUACUAUGGAAUUUUUAGUGAAAAAACAAUAGGGUUCAAUUCGAUUCAUUUUGGAAACUCUAGCGGGGCCAUCCCCAAUUCCUCUCAGCUGUCAUAAUUGAAUAAAAGGGAUCAUAUAGCUUUCCAAUCCAGCAACAUACAUCUAUCACCUAAGCAUAACUGCCAACAUCAGUAUGCAGAAAGAAUCUGUUUAUAACGGUUUAGAGUCGGAAGCAAGGCAAGUCACAGGCCAGCUUUCCUGCUUAAAGCAAACUGUCUGGAAAAGGAAACAUUUGUGGCACCUAAAUUGGUGAAAGCAAACAGAUUGGGGAAACAUGGCAAGCUAAUAGGAAGGAAGCCGAUCAAUCGAGUACGAACCUACACCGUGGCCGUUGUUUGAAAGUCAACCGUACCGUUGUUGGAAAGAAUCGAAGCCGAGGACGCUACUACCCGGAACUCAAUACGAUUCAACCAAAGCCUUUGCUUUGCAAAAGAUACCCGUUCAGCUGUUCCUUUACCGGCAACAACUAUGGAAUAACAACCUUCGCUUUGCUUUCGAUAGUCUCUCGCAUUAGCAAAUCUCAAAAUAUAGUAGAUCCCGGGGCGUACCUAAUGGUUUCAUUGAUUUGAAUGGAUUGACCCGUUGUACCGUUGUAGGAAUCCUCAUCCGAUGUGCGAAUCCCGUGGAGGAAGGGGGGAAACAAAUCAAAUUAUUUGAUUUUGAUAGGAGCAGUGCGGUAUUGAGGGUUUCUCUAUCUAUUCACUCAUGAAGUUAAGACAAGUGAGGAUUGAUUUCAGUUAUUCAUAUAAGAAAUAAGAGGAAGACUGUCUUCUCGGGGAAGACAUGCUUUCCCGCUCUCGGCACAUCUGUGCUAGGGAUACCUUCUUGCGUUGAGAUGCCAUCAACUCUUUCCUGGGGAAUCAGGUCAAUACGUUGGCUAUGGAAAAGCAAGCUAUAGCAGAUCGUUGAGUAUAGAGAAAAAGGAAUGGAGUUUCAUUAGCUCUCUGCACACAUCCAGUAUAAUACCUUUGCGAGCCCCUAAGGAAAGGGGUGUCGUGUUCUCUUUACAAUGGGGGUGAUCCAAGUUUCCAAAAGACAAGGUUGGUUGUAUCUUUUUCUAUUGGCAAUCCCCAAUCCGUUGCUUGUUCGUUAUGAACAAAAGAAGCCGAUACCAGAAGAGGUGUUUAUCCAGCGGAGGUUCGUAUCUCUUCCAUGUGAGACCAGUGACCUCAGAUCAUCCUGGACUUAUGUGCUGGAAUAGCUUCGUUAUGAGUUGAAGCAGCCUCAGCUACUAUUCCUACUAAGGAGGAGUCGCCUUUUUCAAUUCCCUCCCUUUCGCAAUCCCAUGUUGAUGUAACGACUGUAGAGUAUUGGCAAGGCUGUAACAUUACAUGCAGGUCCUAGCCUACGUCCGUUGGUGGUUGACUACCGGGAAAGGGCAGAAUAGCAACAGUGAGGAAGCAUACCACCCAAAGCAAGACGUGAAAACCUCCUUCGUAUCCAAAAGCCCCUUUUAGUCUGUCUGGCCUUAGGCGAAAUGAUACAUAAUCGUAUCUUCUCCGCUGGAUCGAAUGAAAGUAAAUGGUGGUUGGAUCCCACUAAGGAAUUGGCACGCCCGUGGAGCUUACAAACAAGCAAGCCAGUAAAAAGUUAAGGAAUUCACAAUAUCGAAAAAGAGUUGGUUGGCUUCAGGAGUCACUCAAUUGGAUUCGAUCGGGGACUGGAAUGAAACUUCUCAGAAACGAUAGCAGAUUUGGUACCAUAGCUGAGGCGAAUGCUCGUUGACAUGAUCCAAAAUUGAAUGAAUGUUGCAAGAUAGAUUUAUUUAGAAUAGUAGUCUUAGACUGGUGCUCUCUGGAUCACCCCUACGAUGAAACAAAGCCCCUAUUAUGUCCCCCAGAUUUGCACAUUCUUCAUCCCGUUUUGCCAUUGUGCAUUAAGUAAUCCAACGUUUGUGGAGGAAGCUGCAAUGCACCACAUGUUAGCUUAUAGGCCAGAUUUGGGUCCUGCAUUCUUCACUACCUUAACUACUAUAUUUAUUGAGGUGAAGGUCUUACUUAGUAGGCAAAUUCGAGCUGUUGUUUUAAUUCAGAGACCAGACGACUUUGAUACUGCUGCUUCUAUGGCCUUGACGCUGACAUAAGCGCAUUUAUAUUAUGAGUUAUUAGGCGAGGCUGCCCCUAGAACCAUCUUAUUAUUUUUAGCGUAGCAGUUGCUUAAAAUUGGAGAAAAACAACCAAUUGUGCCUAUGUUUCAGACAAUCCCAUGCUUGCCCCGGAUCCAGAACUGUGAUUAGCAAGCACUACUGUCAGGUUCUUGACAGUUUCCUCUCGACUUUCAAAACACCUAUACUCAUACUCUCAAUCAGUGCACAUUUCUCUCAGGGUAUCCAAUCGAUGGGAUACUGGUGCUGGGGAGGGCACUAAACUUACAGGAAUGCUUCUCUUGAAUGAAUUCAUUGGUUCGAAUUCUUUUCUAUCUAAAAAUAAAGUGGAAUAUGGUAGUUUUCUGGGUGAAAUGGGCAACUGGAUCAACAAACAUGAGUGGAGCCAUAGCCUUGUAUGAGUAACGGUGCAACUGCCUAUCUUAUCCAUCUCGAGCCCUAAGCAAUGCGAUUUUCCUUUACUUUGCCACUAGCUAUAUCAUUGUCUAAAUGUUGAAGAACUAUUGUGAUUUCAUUUCGAUCGGAGGUUACACAUGGAGGCUCUGGGUCAAGAGGGGAAAGCAUGGCUGAACAUAGCAGCACUUCCCACUCACUACCACCUAUGUCGCAAGCGCCUUCCUCCGUCUAUCUGUUGUCGCUUCCGGGCACACCAUCAAUUGAUUCAUCUUUGAAUAAUAAUGGGUUUCAGUGGCGGACAAUAGCAAGCUACUGACCCUCUAGAAUAUGGGUGCAUUCAGCAUCGGAUUGACAAGUUCUGCUGAUAGCGGAUCCUGAGACGCAACAAGGGCGGGGACAAUACCUAUAGUGGGGAGGGGACCCAAGCAUCACAAUAUCACGAUGUUUUCUUUUCAUUGAUCAAACCGCUUCGCUUGCACGGAUCUAGAAAGAAUAACAAGAGCUGAACUACCGGUAUACGGAGUGGCUUCGACAUGUCUAAGCAAGGGGAUGAGUCGGCAUCUUGUAGAGGAUCUAUCAAGAGUGGCAAAAAGAGAUGCAUUAUUCAUGGCAAGUAGGCGGUUCCUUUUCCCUAUUACCUCAUUGACUUCCCGUUUGGAGCUUGCAACCAUUAUUCUAGGGAGCACGAGCACAUAUGAAGGGGAGAAGACGACUGGUGAGGGUGGAUUUCAGUCGAAAGAGCUUCUGCAGUCACCAUUGCGUAUCCGUAUCGUGUUCCUCUAUUCACAGGUUCUCAUGCCCUUACUAAAAAGCUCUAUAACAUGGUCCCUCAUAAUGAAUGUCAUUCCUUUUCGCCUAUAUAAAAAUCCUGCAGAAUCACAUUCGCUCUUGGGAAAUAGGCAUUGUCGAGCUUUAUUUUCAGACAAGUUCAUCUCUGUAGUGGCCCAAUCCAACAAAAUAACAUCUCGCAGGUGAUCCACCGAGCGAAUCCUGAGGCUGUGGUGCUCAUAGUACCCGAACCCUUGGAUCUCGCUUUGCAAUGGAACCUCUUCUGUGGACUCAGCUUAAGUAAAAGAUGGAGGUUUCGGCGAUGUCUGGUUGGACGGACCCCCUAUUCAGAAUACGCGUGCGUCCCCACGUACGCGCGUGAUAAACCAUAAACACAAAGGAGUGAUAUGACCCUCUAAGAAGAUGAGGAAUCCACUUGUUAAAAGAAGAAAGAAUCAGCUAAACCACUGGAAUAGAGAGAUUCGCCUCAUGGAAUAUAAGGAAAACAUGCACAAGAAAUAUGAGGAAUGCACUAAAAAAGAAACUAAACAGAUCCAAAAUAUAAGGAAUGACCGGCUUCGACUUCUAUUCAGAUGCACAAUCCAUUGAAAUUAUUCCACUUUACCGAUGCAUUCAUCUGGUUUUGGAUGCAUUCAUCAUGUUUUCAGUAUCCAUUCCCUAUGGUGUCCAAAGGGAUUGCCUUAUGAAUCGAAAAUUCCGAUCAAUCGAAAAACAAAUGCAGCAGGACACACUUUUGAAGAUAAAACGAGUGUGCAGCUGUGAUGCACACCGGGGGAAUUCCAAAAAGACUGGCUUCCCCUUCUAGAAAGAGAAUACGCGUGUGUCCUCACGUAUGCGCGUAAAAAAUGAAGAAAAGAAAGGUGUGGAUUGCUGCGAGAAAAUAGCUUGCACGAAAGAGCUCGAAAUUGAGUAAGUUAAGUUGACCCAAUUAACCGAUUUUAGAGUCUUGAAAAAGCAAUCGAAUUAAGUUGUAUAUAGUCUAACUCAAAUACUUGAUUCAUGAUUAGAAAUCUCAAUCUUAAAUUAGCUUAUAUAAUGUUCUUUACUUUUGAUGCAAUGACAGAUUCUCUUUCGAUAACAUAGCACAGCCAUUGGGCGAGACCACGUGAACAUGACUACUUAGUAACGUCGUUGAAACCGGCCAACCUGCCGUCGUAAGAGAGAUAUUUUAGCAUUGUUGCAACCAGUUAUCAAUCCAAUCCUUCGCAAACCAACUAAGCUAUAAAGCUUUUUUUGUUGAAGUGGCAGACACAAGAUAAAUAAUGUGAAACCGGACCUCUCUUACUACAGUGGGAGGUGUAGGCCUUAUUUGCAGCAUCAGGUGCAACAUUAUUCCCCCCUAGAGAGCCAGCGGGUCCCCACGCUGGUGCAUUCGGGAAGCUGUAUGCAUUCGGUGCCCUCAAGCGGGGAUUAAGAUUACCCAAAUCAGCAUAACAAAAUGGGAGCUCAAAGACAAACUCCAGAAUAGCUGAGUUGACAUCAAUACAGACCAUGCAAUGCUUAAAUUGCCUUUGCUCAUUGCUGCUAACCUGACUCCAACAAUUAGACAAUUGUUGCAACUCGUGUCAUCCGUGAGGGUAACUUGAGUAGUAAUUUUACUGAACUAC